This 421-nucleotide ribosomal RNA is filed under the name uncultured Methanospirillum sp. RNAcentral's name for it is "bacterial SSU rRNA". It matches the Rfam family "Archaeal small subunit ribosomal RNA", at positions 322 to 747 of the family's 1478-position model. Lineage: Archaea; Methanobacteriati; Methanobacteriota; Methanomicrobia; Methanomicrobiales; Methanospirillaceae. The record is from RNAcentral.
CCUACGGGAUGCAGCAGGCGCGAAAACUUUACCAUGCGGGCAACCGUGAUAAGGAAACCCCGAGUGCCAGCAUAGGCUGGCUGUCCGCCAGUUUAAAAAACUGGUGAAGAAAGGGCCGGGCAAGACCGGUGCCAGCCGCCGCGGUAAUACCGGCGGCUCGAGUGGUGGCCACUAUUACUGGGCUUAAAGGGUCCGUAGCUUGAUAUGCAAGUCUUUUGAGAAAUCCGCCAGCUUAACUGGCGGGCGUUCAGGGGAAACUGCAUUUCUUGGGACCGGGAGAGGUGAGAGGUACUGCCGGGGUAGGAGUGAAAUCCUGUAAUCCCGGUGGGACCACCUAUAGCGAAGGCAUCUCACCAGAACGGGUCCGACAGUGAGGGACGAAAGCUGGGGGAGCAAACCGGAUUAGAUACCCGUGUAGUCC